This 628-nucleotide ribosomal RNA is filed under the name uncultured archaeon. RNAcentral's name for it is "bacterial SSU rRNA". It matches the Rfam family "Archaeal small subunit ribosomal RNA", at positions 13 to 647 of the family's 1478-position model. The record is from RNAcentral.
CCCGCCGGACCUGACUGCUAUCGGAUUGAUACUAAGCCAUGCGAGUCAUUGUAGUAAUACAAGGCAUACGGCUCAGUAACGCGUAGUCAACCUAACCUAUGGACGGGAAUAACCUCGGGAAACUGAGUAUAAUGCCCGAUAGAACAUUAUGCCUGGAAUGGUUUAUGUUCCAAAUGAUUUAUCGCCGUAGGAUGGGACUGCGGCCUAUCAGUUUGUUGGUGAGGUAAUGGCCCACCAAGACUAUUACAGGUACGGGCUCUGAGAGGAGUAGCCCGGAGAUGGGUACUGAGACACGGACCCAGGCCCUAUGGGGCGCAGCAGGCGAGAAAACUUUGCAAUGUGCGAAAGCACGACAAGGUUAAUCCGAGUGGUUUCUGCUAAAGGAACCUUUUGUUAGUCCUAGAAACACUAACGAAUAAGGGGUGGGCAAGUUCUGGUGUCAGCCGCCGCGGUAAAACCAGCACCUCAAGUGGUCAGGAUGAUUAUUGGGCCUAAAGCAUCCGUAGCCGGAUCUGUAAGUUUUCGGUUAAAUCUGUACGCUCAACGUACAGGCUGCCGGGAAUACUGCAGAUCUAGGGAGUGGGAGAGGUAGACGGUACUCGGGAGGAAGGGGUAAAAUCCUUUGAUC